RNAcentral lists this long non-coding RNA (337 nucleotides) under Dromaius novaehollandiae (emu). RNAcentral describes it as "lncRNA (ENSDNVG00000002627.1)". Lineage: Eukaryota; Metazoa; Chordata; Aves; Casuariiformes; Dromaiidae. The record is from RNAcentral.
AUGGAAGCACCAGGAAAAUGGUGGGAACCCAAUAUUGGUGAGAGUGGUUCCAUGCAACUGAAGCAGUGGAGAAAAAGAACUGAGCUCCUAGUGACGCAAUCAUUGUUUGACCAUGAACCAAGACGGAAGGAACAUGAAAUGGAUAACAUGCUAAGAAUGGGGCCCUUGCUCUGAGGGAUCGCAGAAAAACAAAUGAGUGUCCAUCUCUUGUAAGCUUGGCCCAAAAGCUUCAUGUCAAAUAACCCUUCUACUUGAUUGGCAUAUGAAAGCAGUGGUAAUGAAGGUGAGCGGAAGUCUGCAUCUGCUCUGAAAUAUUUGGAAUGCCCCAGCAUUCAAA